CAGGAUGCGGUGGGUGAACGUGGGGAAGUGAGCCAGGAAAAGGAAGAAAGCCAUUGAGGCUGCACUAAUAAUGGGUUACUUUUUGAGGGUGACUGGAGCUCACUCUUAUUAAGAUCCUUCUAAGAAACUGUGGAAAAUAAUCCCAACAUUUCCCACCAAGAGGUGAGAAAGCUGGGUCAUUAUCAGUUUCAGCUCUGGUUGACAGUCUCUGAGACAUUAACUCCCUGGUACUUCCAGCCUGCCCCAUGUGUGAGCCAAGCACAGUCCUGGGCUGGAGAGUGCCUGCGGGCUGAGAGGCACAGGAAGCCAGUGGACAGUAAGGGAGUUGUCUUCAGAUGACCUCCAGGGUGUGUCAAGGGGAUAUGGGCAGGGCAUGAGUGCAUCUUUCACAGCACGUCCUUUGUAUUGCUUAUUAACGUGCCCAUGUUAAGUUCACUCUGUCACUAAUUCUUUAAAAUGGCCUUAAUCAUACCCCUGAUGGAAGGAUGUAACAGCAGGGUGGUUGGUGGGAUGCUGCUGCAGUUGUUCCCAGGCUGUGGGGAUAUUCAUCCUCUCCUUCACAGAAUGUUCAUUCUGGAAUCCCC
This 584-nucleotide long non-coding RNA is filed under the name Homo sapiens (human). RNAcentral describes it as "novel transcript". The record is from RNAcentral. Lineage: Eukaryota; Metazoa; Chordata; Mammalia; Primates; Hominidae.